GCAAGUCAGUGGUCUAGACUUGAGCGGUUUCAAUGCCUGCUAUAUCACUCUACGGGCAUGGAAACUGGAUGGUAGAUGUACUGAACUUUCUGUCAAAGCACAUGCAUUGAAGGGUCAACAGUGUGUACAUUGCCGGCUUGUGGUUGGGGAUGGUUUUGUUACAAUAACAAGAGGGGAAAGCAUUAGGAGGUUCUUUGAGCAUGCUGAAGAGGCUGAAGAAGAAGAGGAUGAGGAUUCCAUGGACAAGGAUGGAAAUGAACUAGAUGGUGAAUGCUCUCGUCCUCAAAAACAUGCCAAGAGUCCUGAACUUGCUCGGGAAUUUCUUCUAGAUGCCGCAACU
RNAcentral lists this unclassified non-coding RNA (340 nucleotides) under Hevea brasiliensis (rubber tree). Lineage: Eukaryota; Viridiplantae; Streptophyta; Magnoliopsida; Malpighiales; Euphorbiaceae. The record is from RNAcentral.